AUGAACGCUAGCUACAGGCUUAACACAUGCAAGUCGAGGGGCAUCAGGACGAUAGCUUGCUAUUGUUGCUGGCGACCGGCGCACGGGUGAGUAACGCGUAUCCAACCUGGCCCUUAGUAGGGGAUAGCCCGGCGAAAGUCGGAUUAAUACCCUAUGUUUCCUUUGAUGGCAUCUGAUUUGGAACAAAGAUUGAUCGCUAAGGGAUGGGGAUGCGUCUGAUUAGGUAGUAGGCGGGGUAACGGCCCACCUAGCCAACGAUCAGUAGGGGUUCUGAGAGGAAGGUCCCCCACAUUGGUACUGAGACACGGACCAAACUCCUACGGGAGGCAGCAGUGAGGAAUAUUGGUCAAUGGACGAGAGUCUGAACCAGCCAAGUAGCGUGCAGGAUGACUGCCCUAUGGGUUGUAAACUGCUUUAUGCGGGAAUAAAGUUCGGCACGUGUGCCGUUUGUAUGUACCGCAUGAAUAAGGACCGGCUAAUUCCGUGCC
RNAcentral lists this ribosomal RNA (488 nucleotides) under uncultured bacterium. RNAcentral describes it as "bacterial SSU rRNA". It matches the Rfam family "Bacterial small subunit ribosomal RNA", at positions 29 to 509 of the family's 1533-position model. The record is from RNAcentral.